This 102-nucleotide small nuclear RNA is filed under the name Chinchilla lanigera (long-tailed chinchilla). The record is from RNAcentral. Lineage: Eukaryota; Metazoa; Chordata; Mammalia; Rodentia; Chinchillidae.
UUUGUAAAUAACAUAAACACCACUAAAAUAGGAAUGGUACAGAGAUUAUCAUGGCCCCUAUGCAAGGAUGACAUGCAAAUUUGUGAAGAGCUACCUAUUAAA